This 450-nucleotide ribosomal RNA is filed under the name Spilasma duodecimguttata. RNAcentral's name for it is "partial 16S large subunit ribosomal RNA". It matches the Rfam family "Bacterial large subunit ribosomal RNA", at positions 1831 to 2601 of the family's 2925-position model. The record is from RNAcentral. Lineage: Eukaryota; Metazoa; Arthropoda; Arachnida; Araneae; Araneidae.
UUCUUAUAAAUUUAAUUAUAAGUAAAGUCUGCUCAAUGAAUCAUUUUAAAUAGCCGCAGAAUUUUAACUGUGCUAAGGUAGCAUAAUCACUAGUUCCUUAAUUAGGAUCCUGUAUGAAAGACUUAACAUUUCAGUUUCUUUUUUCUUUUAAUUAUUUUAAAUUAAACUAGUAAUAAAAAUGUUACUAUAAAAAAAAUAGACGACAAGACCCUAUUGAACUUUACUGUAGUUUAGCUGGGGCAGCUAAAUAAUAAAUAUUUUAUUUAACUUUUUUUCAUAAAUGAUCCAAUUCAAUUGAUUACCUGAAUAAGUUACCAUAGGGAUAACAGCAUAAUAUUUUUUUAAAGCUCUUAUUAAAAAAAAAGAUUAUGACCUCGAUGUUGAAUUAAUAAAACUAUAUUAAAGCAAAAAUUAUACAAGUAGGUCUGUUCGACCUUUAAAAUGUUACAU